GAUGAACGCUGGCGGCGUGCCUAAUACAUGCAAGUCGAGCGAACAGACGAGGAGCUUGCUCCUCUGACGUUAGCGGCGGACGGGUGAGUAACACGUGGAUAACCUACCUAUAAGACUGGGAUAACUUCGGGAAACCGGAGCUAAUACCGGAUAAUAUAUUGAACCGCAUUGUUCAAUAGUGAAAGACGGUUUUGCUGUCACUUCUAGAUGGAUCCGCGCCGCAUUAGCUAGUUGGUAAGGUAACGGCUUACCAAGGCAACGAUGCGUAGCCGAACUGAGAGGGUGAUCGGCCACACUGGGACUGAGACACGGUCCAGACGCCUACGGGAGGCAGCAGUAGGGAAUCGUCCGCAAAGGGCGAAAGCCUGACGGAGCAACGCCGAGGGAGUGAUGAAGGUCUUCGGAUCGUAAAACUCUGUUAUUAGGGAAGAACAAAUGUGUAAGUAACUAUGCACGUCUUGACGGUACCUAAUCAGAAAGCCACGGCUAACUACGUG
Molecule: ribosomal RNA, 497 nt
Filed under: uncultured bacterium
Lineage: Bacteria
Description: partial 16S ribosomal RNA
Rfam family: Bacterial small subunit ribosomal RNA
Source: RNAcentral